CACUUUCGACAACGGAUCUCUUGGCUCUCCCAUCGAUGAAGAACGCAGCGAAAUGCGAUAAGUAAUGUGAAUUGCAGAAUUCAGUGACUCAUCGAAUCUUUGAACGCACCUUGCGCCCUUUGGUAUUCCGAAGGGCAUGCCUGUUUGAGUGUCAUUAAAUUCUCAACUUUGCAAGCUUUUUCUAGCUUGCGAGGCUUGGAUGUGAGGGUUUUGCUGGCUUCCUUUAAGUUGGAUGGUCUGCCCCCUUUAAAUUCAUUAGUGGGAUCCUUUGUGGAUGGUCACUUGGUGUGAUAAUUAUCUACGCCGCCUGACUCUGAUACAAAACUUGUGGGAACCUGCUUAUAACCGUCUCUUUCAGAGACACUAUCAUUGACAAUUUGACCUCAAAUCAGGUAGGACUACCCGCUGAACUUAAGCAUAUCAAGAAGCGGAGGCU
This 436-nucleotide unclassified non-coding RNA is filed under the name uncultured Mycena. RNAcentral's name for it is "sequence contains ITS2". The stretch from base 1 to 154 matches the Rfam family "5.8S ribosomal RNA". Lineage: Eukaryota; Fungi; Basidiomycota; Agaricomycetes; Agaricales; Tricholomataceae. The record is from RNAcentral.